RNAcentral lists this non-coding RNA (112 nucleotides) under Astrosyne radiata. Lineage: Eukaryota; Bacillariophyta; Fragilariophyceae; Cyclophorales; Cyclophoraceae. The record is from RNAcentral.
AAGUCUGGAGGAUCUCACUCUACCGUCACUGCACAUCAUGGGCAGAGCCGAUACGAGUGUACUGGCCACCCAGAGUCUGAAACUCGCAUCGAGAUUCCACGAUCCCCAAUUG